UGACAAGAUAUAUAUGUAAUGAAUUUUGAGUUUUGUCCCUUUUAUUGAGGUACUUUUUUCUGAAAUUGUUACAACCACUAAACAGCACUACAUUUUUUGAAACAUUUUUCCUAUAGUAUUUUUUGGUUUUUUGCCUGAUUAGCUGCCAAAUGUAAAUGUUUAAUUCAACUCUACAAAAAUGUUUAACACUUAGUGAUUCAAUUAGUAAGUUUAUACCUAUGGUCUCAGUGAGCUAUUCUUUAAAAUUCAUUAUAUGUUAUAAUUUUAUAGGCAAACUAAUAUGUUUUUAUGAUUCUUGGCUUUUUAUAGAUAAAAAUAAGCAACAAUACAUGUUUUUCUUAUAAUUUUCUCUUUUUUUCUUAUAAAGCAGGAAAAAACUUCUAUAUUCUGUGUCAGUUGGUUGCAGUUAUAGAAAAUGCAGUAAACUAGGUAGAAAUAUCAAAUAAGAUUUUUAUAAAACUGGUCUGUAUGGUUCCAAGCAAUCCAGAUAAAUAACCAGCUACGGUCAUUGAAGAGUAAGAUGUAUUCACUUCUAUGUGAAUGAAUUCAAAGUGCAACAGUGAUUCUACUUAAUAUAAAUCCUUUGAUAUACUGGCAUUUCCGCACAGGAAGAAUACUUGUGUUCAGAAAUAUGUGUUUUAUGCCUAUUCCUUAGAAUUUUAGAUGCAUAUUCUCAAUUAUACAUAUUAAAUAGUCCACAGAGAAACCUAAACUUCUGUAAAACUCAUAACGCAGUGUUAUUUAGACCCUAACCUCAAAUGUAACAAGGCUGGAACCAUUCCAUUUCCAUGAAAUAAUUUAAGUAAGCCAAUACAAGGGGAAGGGGUGGGAAUAAAGGUCUGAGAUGGUCUUUAGUUUUACAUUUUGUGCUAGAGGUAUUUUUACAUACUUUUAAAGAAUAGAGGGUGCCUGUAUCUUAGUACACUUAAUAAGAAAGAAAAAUUAUACUGUAAUUGGGUAUCGUCGUUGUCAAUCAUUUGGCAAUGUUACCUGAUAAAAGUUUCUGAGAUGAUGGAAACUCUCUCUAUAUGCACGGCCCAGCUUGCUUGCUCCUAGCUACAUGUGGUUACUGAACACUUGAAAUGUGGCUAGUGUGACAGAGGACACUAAUUAAUUUUAUUUUA
This 1124-nucleotide long non-coding RNA is filed under the name Homo sapiens (human). Its description in RNAcentral is "HSALNT0367361". Lineage: Eukaryota; Metazoa; Chordata; Mammalia; Primates; Hominidae. The record is from RNAcentral.